Molecule: ribosomal RNA, 478 nt
Filed under: uncultured bacterium
Lineage: Bacteria
Description: partial 16S ribosomal RNA
Rfam family: Bacterial small subunit ribosomal RNA
Source: RNAcentral
GACGAACGCUGGCGGCGUGCUUAACACAUGCAAGUCGAACGGUAAGGCCCUUCGGGGUACACGAGUGGCGAACGGGUGAGUAACACGUGGGUGCUCUGCCCUGCACCUCGGGAUAAGCCUGGGAAACUGGGCCGAAUACCGGAUAGGACUCCGGACUGCAUGGCCUGGGGUGGAAAGCUUUUGCGGUGUUGGAUGGGCCCGCGGCCGAUCAGCUUGUUGGUGGGGUGGUGGCCUACCAAGGCGACGACGGGUAGCCGGCCUGAGAGGGUGACCGGCCACACUGGGACUGAGAUACGGCCCAGACUCAUACGGGAGGCAGCAGUGGGGAAUAUUGCACAAUGGGCGCAAGCCUGAUGCAGCGACGCCGCGUGAGGGAUGACGGCCUUCGGGUUGUAAACCUCUUUCAGCAUCGACGAAGCGAAAGUGACGGUAGGUGCAGAAGAAGGACCGGCCAACUACGUGCCAGCCGCCGCAGUAA